Molecule: ribosomal RNA, 506 nt
Filed under: uncultured bacterium
Lineage: Bacteria
Description: partial 16S ribosomal RNA
Rfam family: Bacterial small subunit ribosomal RNA
Source: RNAcentral
GAUGAACGCUAGCUACAGGCUUAACACAUGCAAGUCGAGGGGUAACGAGAGGAAAGCUUGCUUUCCUUGUCGACGACCGGCGCACGGGUGAGUAACGCGUAUCCAACCUGCCCCCAACUAGGGAAUAACCUUGCGAAAGUAAGACUAAUACCCUAUAAUUUCCUCAGAUGUCAUCUGACGAGGAAUAAAGAUUUAUCGGUUGUGGAUGGGGAUGCGUCUGAUUAGCUUGUUGGCGGGGUAACGGUCCACCAAGGCAACGAUGAGUAGGGGUUCUGAGAGGAAGGUCCCCCACAUUGGAUCGAAGACACGGGCCAAACUCCUACGGGAGGCAGCAGUGAGGAAUAUUGGUCAAUGGGCGGAAGCCUGAACCAUCCAAGUAGCGUCCAGGAUGACGGCCCUAUGGUUUGUAAACUGCUUUUAUACAGGAAUAAAGUUAGCCACGUGUGGUUAUUUGUAGGUACUGUAUGAAUAAGGACCGGCUAAUUCCGUGCCAGCCGCCGCCGUAA